This 1050-nucleotide long non-coding RNA is filed under the name Pan troglodytes (chimpanzee). RNAcentral's name for it is "long non-coding RNA NONPTRT016807". Lineage: Eukaryota; Metazoa; Chordata; Mammalia; Primates; Hominidae. The record is from RNAcentral.
CUGUGCCGUAGAACUGAGGAAAGCACAGGCUCUGCUAGAGAUGUUAAGUAUUCUCUCUCCCUGAAAGCUGGUUCUUCUGAAAUCGAAAUAUUCAGGGGGGAAGGAAAAGAGGCACAGGGCAUCUGAAUUCCAAAGGACUAGGGAAGCCACCACUUCCCGGAUAACUGCACUCCCUCCACCUUACACCUAAAACAAGGUUGAAGAGUCCUGUCAGGGCCAUCUCAAAAGGAGAAGCAAAGCCUGCAGAGGAGGCCAGCCUGAGUCCUGGGAUGCGAACGGGUGCUGGGCUCAGCAUGAGGAGGAGGAGACCCUGGCCACAGUUCCAUGAAUCUUUGCUCCCUUCCACAUUAUGGAUUCUGGCUAAGAAGAUUUUCAUCUUUCACCACCUGUUCUGGAUUCUUGGAACAGGUGAUCUAUUGCUUUCUGGAGUUUAAAGUUCAGAGGAUCAUGAAGUACCACAGCUGGAAGGGGUGUAAGUGACACUGACUAGCCUAACUCUCUUAAAAAUCAUAGCCCUACUCCUGCCUCCCCAAAUCGGAUACGACAGGCAUAGGCUGUGACUGUUCCUUAAAUCUUAGUGGCAAUACUCUCUGACCAGUUUUGCGGGGUGCUCCCAGUUUCAUUGCUUUUGUAACAGGUGGCCAGAAAGCUUGGGGUCCCGUGAUAAGAGUUUCAGUUCUUUCCAGGAUGGAUGGAAAGAAGGAAGGAAGGAUGGAUGGAUGAAUGAAUGAGUGGGUGAGCGGAUGGAUGGAUGGAUGGAUGGAUGGAUGGAUGGAUGGACGGAUGAAAAGAUGGGCCAGAGCCUCGGAACGGUAAUGCCGGCCAGACGGGUCCGAGCCCCUCGGGAGCCCCAGCCCUCCUCCGGCUGCGGGGCCGCUGCUCCUGCUCCCGGGCCGUCACGGAGCCCUGAGGGAGGGGGCGGGCGAGCGGGGGCCCUGGGGCGGCCAGGGCGCUGGGAGGGAGUACUGGGCGGUGGGGACCGGAGGGGAGGGAGGGCCUUGGAGGCGGAGAGGAGGGACGGGCGGGGAGAGGGCCCGGACGAGGGGCGGC